AGUGAACGCUGGCGGUAGGCCUAACACAUGCAAGUCGAACGGCAGCACAGUAAGAGCUUGCUCUUACGGGUGGCGAGUGGCGGACGGGUGAGGAAUACAUCGGAAUCUACUUUUUCGUGGGGGAUAACGUAGGGAAACUUACGCUAAUACCGCAUACGACCUACGGGUGAAAGCAGGGGAUCUUCGGACCUUGCGCGAUUGAAUGAGCCGAUGUCGGAUUAGCUAGUUGGCGGGGUAAAGGCCCACCAAGGCGACGAUCCGUAGCUGGUCUGAGAGGAUGAUGAGCAACAAGGGAAAUGAGACACGGUCGAGAGUACUACGGGAGGCAGCAGUGGGGAAGAUUGGAGAAUGGGUGAAAGUAUGAUCCAGAAAUUGAGCGUGAGGGAAGAAGGCCUGCGGAGUGGAAAGUAUUUUAAGUGGGGAGGAAGGGCAGUAAGUUAAUACCUUGCUGUGUGGAAGGUAAAAACAGAAUAAGAAACGGCUAACUUCGUG
This 492-nucleotide ribosomal RNA is filed under the name uncultured bacterium. Its description in RNAcentral is "partial 16S ribosomal RNA". It matches the Rfam family "Bacterial small subunit ribosomal RNA", at positions 30 to 507 of the family's 1533-position model. The record is from RNAcentral.